AUGACCAUGAUUACGCCAAGCUUGGUACCGAGCUCGGAUCCACUAGUAACGGCCGCCAGUGUGCUGGAAUUCGCCCUUCAGGCCUAACACAUGCAAGUCGAACGGGAUUUAUCAGCUUGCUGAUAAUGAGAGUGGCGCACGGGUGAGUAACGCGUAUGCAACCUACCUUUUACAGUGGGAUAGCCCAGAGAAAUUUGGAUUAAUACCGCAUAGUAUGCACGAUCGGCAUCGGUUGUGUAUUAAACAUUUAUGGGUAAGAGAUGGGCAUGCGUUCUAUUAGUUAGUUGGAGUGGUAACGGCACCCCAAGACAGCGAUAGAUAGGGGCCCUGAGAGGGGGAUCCCCCACACUGGUACUGAGACACGGACCAGACUCCUACGGGAGGCAGCAGUGAGGAAUAUUGGACAAUGGGCGCAAGCCUGAUCCAGCCAUGCCGCGUGCAGGAAGACGGCCCUAUGGGUUGUAAACUGCUUUUAUACAGGAAGAAACACCCCCACGUGUGGGGGCUUGACGUACUGAGGAAUAAGAUCGGCA
This 533-nucleotide ribosomal RNA is filed under the name uncultured bacterium. RNAcentral's name for it is "partial 16S ribosomal RNA". The stretch from base 75 to 533 matches the Rfam family "Bacterial small subunit ribosomal RNA", at positions 39 to 498 of the family's 1533-position model. The record is from RNAcentral.